AAGGUGGGGGGGGUGCUAUACAUGCAAGUCGAACGCUUUGUGGUUCAACUGAUUUGAAGAGCUUGCUCAGAUAUGACGAUGGACAUUGCAAAGAGUGGCGAACGGGUGAGUAACACGUGGGAAACCUACCUCUUAGCAGGGGAUAACAUUUGGAAACAGAUGCUAAUACCGUAUAACAAUGACAACCGCAUGGUUGUUAUUUAAAAGAUGGUUCUGCUAUCACUAAGAGAUGGUCCCGCGGUGCAUUAGCUAGUUGGUAAGGUAAUGGCUUACCAAGGCGAUGAUGCAUAGCCGAGUUGAGAGACUGAUCGGCCACAAUGGGACUGAGACACGGCCCAUACUCCUACGGGAGGCAGCAGUAGGGAAUCUUCCACAAUGGGCGAAAGCCUGAUGGAGCAACGCCGCGUGUGUGAUGAAGGGUUUCGGCUCGUAAAACACUGUUGUAAGAGAAGAAUGACAUUGAGAGUAACUGUUCAAUGUGUGACGGUAUCUUACCAGAAAGGAACGGCUAAAUACGUGCCAGCAGCCGCGGUAAUACGUAUGUUCCAAGCGUUAUCCGGAUUUAUUGGGCGUAAAGCGAGCGCAGACGGUUAUUUAAGUCUGAAGUGAAAGCCCUCAGCUCAACUGAGGAAUUGCUUUGGAAACUGGAUGACUUGAGUGCAGUAGAGGAAAGUGGAACUCCAUGUGUAGCGGUGAAAUGCGUAGAUAUAUGGAAGAACACCAGUGGCGAAGGCGGCUUUCUGGACUGUAACUGACGUUGAGGCUCGAAAGUGUGGGUAGCAAACAGGAUUAGAUACCCUGGUAGUCCACACCGUAAACGAUGAGUGCUAGGUGUUUGAGGGUUUCCGCCCUUAAGUGCCGCAGCUAACGCAUUAAGCACUCCGCCUGGGGAGUACGACCGCAAGGUUGAAACUCAAAGGAAUUGACGGGGACCCGCACAAGCGGUGGAGCAUGUGGUUUAAUUCGAAGCAACGCGAAGAACCUUACCAGGUCUUGACAUCCCUUGACAACUCCAGAGAUGGAGCGUUCCCUUCGGGGACAAGGUGACAGGUGGUGCAUGGUUGUCGUCAGCUCGUGUCGUGAGAUGUUGGGUUAAGUCCCGCAACGAGCGCAACCCUUAUUACUAGUUGCCAGCAUUCAGUUGGGCACUCUAGUGAGACUGCCGGUGACAAACCGGAGGAAGGUGGGGAUGACGUCAAAUCAUCAUGCCCCUUAUGACCUGGGCUACACACGUGCUACAAUGGCGUAUACAACGAGUUGCCAACCCGCGAGGGUGAGCUAAUCUCUUAAAGUACGUCUCAGUUCGGAUUGUAGGCUGCAACUCGCCUACAUGAAGUCGGAAUCGCUAGUAAUCGCGGAUCAGCACGCCGCGGUGAAUACGUUCCCGGGUCUUGUACACACCGCCCGUCACACCAUGAGAGUUUGUAACACCCAAAGCCGGUGGGGUAACCUUCGGGAGCCAGCCGUCUAACGCG
This 1475-nucleotide ribosomal RNA is filed under the name Weissella confusa. Its description in RNAcentral is "bacterial SSU rRNA". It matches the Rfam family "Bacterial small subunit ribosomal RNA". The record is from RNAcentral. Lineage: Bacteria; Bacillati; Bacillota; Bacilli; Lactobacillales; Lactobacillaceae.